This is a long non-coding RNA of Colias croceus (clouded yellow), 204 nucleotides long. RefSeq lists it as uncharacterized. The record is from RefSeq and is a predicted model, not a curated record. The transcript is spliced from 3 exons. Lineage: Eukaryota; Metazoa; Arthropoda; Insecta; Lepidoptera; Pieridae.
UAAGAAAUACCUGCCCCUGUAGUCUGUACAAAUUAGUCGGUAAUUACCGAUAACUUAUUUAUAGACCCGUCUUCAGCAAUGAAAAUGAUGUCGCUUAAUACCUCUCCCCAAUUUGAUGGAAGCAUACAAUGGAUACAUAUUUGUUUAUAAUUUUUAUUCUUCACAAAACUUUCCGUUAUGCGUCAAAAUAUUUAUAUAAUAAUA